AUGGAGCCGACCUUGAAAUACCACCCUUUAAUGUUUGAUGUUCUAACGUUGACCCGUAAUCCGGGUUGCGGACAGUGUCUGGUGGGUAGUUUGACUGGGGCGGUCUCCUCCUAAAGAGUAACGGAGGAGCACGAAGGUUGGCUAAUCCUGGUCGGACAUCAGGAGGUUAGUGCAAUGGCAUAAGCCAGCUUGACUGCGAGCGUGACGGCGCGAGCAGGUGCGAAAGCAGGUCAUAGUGAUCCGGUGGUUCUGAAUGGAAGGGCCAUCGCUCAACGGAUAAAAGGUACUCCGGGGAUAACAGGCUGAUACCGCCCAAGAGUUCAUAUCGACGGCGGUGUUUGGCACCUCGAUGUCGGCUCAUCACAUCCUGGGGCUGAAGUAGGUCCCAAGGGUAUGGCUGUUCGCCAUUUAAAGUGGUACGCGAGCUGGGUUUAGAACGUCGUGAGACAGUUCGGUCCCUAUCUGCCGUGGGCGCUGGAGAACUGAGGGGGGCUGCUCCUAGUACGAGAGGACCGGAGUGGACGCAUCACUGGUGUUCGGGUUGUCAUGCCAAUGGCACUGCCCGGUAGCUAAAUGCGGAAGAGAUAAGUGCUGAAAGCAUCUAAGCACGAAACUUGCCCCGAGAUGAGUUCUCCCUGACCCUUUAAGGGUCCUGAAGGAACGUUGAAGACGACGACGUUGAUAGGCCGGGUGUGUAAGCGCAGCGAUGCGUUGAGCUAACCGGUACUAAUGAACCGUGAGGCUUAACCUUACAACGCCGAAGGUGUUU
RNAcentral lists this ribosomal RNA (769 nucleotides) under Escherichia coli. RNAcentral's name for it is "partial 23S ribosomal RNA". It matches the Rfam family "Bacterial large subunit ribosomal RNA", at positions 2180 to 2925 of the family's 2925-position model. The record is from RNAcentral. Lineage: Bacteria; Pseudomonadati; Pseudomonadota; Gammaproteobacteria; Enterobacterales; Enterobacteriaceae.